RNAcentral lists this long non-coding RNA (426 nucleotides) under Homo sapiens (human). Its description in RNAcentral is "non-protein coding lnc-FAM107A-2:1". Lineage: Eukaryota; Metazoa; Chordata; Mammalia; Primates; Hominidae. The record is from RNAcentral.
CCGGGGAGAGGCCAGCCCGGCCUACAGUGCGGACACAGGACAGAGGGGAGCCAGGUUCUUUGCACUGACCAAUGCUGAGAGCAGACCCUCGGAGCAGCCGGGUUGGAAGUGUCUCUCCAUAGUCACCAGACAGAUCCAGGAUAGGAUGGGCAGCCCAGUGCACCGAGUGUCAUUGGGGGAUACCUGGAGCAGGCAAAUGCACCCCGACAUAGAGAGCGAGAGGUAUAUGCAGUCCUUUGACGUGGAACGGCUCACCAACAUCCUUGAUGGAGGUGCCCAGAACACUGCACUCCGCAGGAAAGUUGAUCCAUGAAGCAAGUGGGUGAGAAGAUUUCAAGAGCCCUUUCUGGAGACGUGGCCUUAAAUAUACACAGAGUCUUCGUGAGAGCCCUCAGGAGCCUGGGCUCAGAGGAGCAGAUUGCCAAA